AGGUCCCGUCGUCGCUGCGUGGAGGGGUUCCUUCUCGCUAACCUCUUCGCCCGGAAGUGGCAACAAGACUGCAACAUCCCCUCACGCCUAGUCUGUAAAGAACUUUGUUUAACCCGGAGGCGGGGCCAGCCAGCUCCGCCCCUCCAGCUGGACGCGGGAGCGAGGUUGAGGUUCAUACCCCUGGGUUCUCUCCAGGCCUGAGGCGGAGAGCCAGCCGCCUGCCUACCUCUGGGCUUUGAACCCCGGGUCUGGUGACUUCGCUUAAAGACCUCGGGCCGAAGGCCCGCCAGGCUCAACCUCGGUUCACAGGACCCCCGACUUGUGUGAGUCGUACACCGCUCUUUACCGUCUCUGGACCUAGGUCAUCUCGGCAGUAAAAUGGGGUGAAAUGACCCGACCUCCCCGGAGGAUGCCGCGCACGAUGUGUGCCUCAAGUUGGCUUCCACUGACCUGAACUGUUAAGAAAGCCCUCCUCAGUGACGCCUUCCCUGAAUCCACAGUGGAGAUUGCCGUUUUCCUGGAACUAAUUCACCCACACUUACCCAUUUCAUCCCUUUCCACCUUUUAUUUCUACCUUUCUGCCCCACUGAUCUCUAGAAUAGGUGCUGGGAGACGUUAGAGUAUUUGAUCUCCCACUCCCCAGUCAUCCCACUUACCGAGCAGUAAUUCUCUGCCUGGCUGCACAUUGCAAUCACUUGGGAAGCCUCUAAAAAUACUGAUGCCAGGGCUCUACCCCAAGCCAGUUAAAAUCUCCAGCGCUGGACCUGGGCAUUGGUACUUUUUGUAAAGCUUUCAGGUCAAGGAAGAGCAAGACUGAAAAUGUUUACCAGAUUUAUAAUCGAGGAGGUCCUGGAUGACCUUGGCAAAAGCAACCCCAAUGGCAUGGGAAUGAAUGUUUACCAAGAUGAUGCCAGUAUAGCUAGUGAGAUGCAGCACCCCAUCCUCAGCCCCCUCGCCUCUGGAAGAGACACCAGACUGCAAAGGGCACCGCGUACAGAAGCUAACGGAACUUGAAUGACAAGACAAAAAGAGCAGAAUCAGUUAGUGUGACACAACAUUCUAACAUGCCUGAUUCUUACAUCAAAUAUGGUAACUUUGGGGUUGGUAGGGGGAGACAAACAAGGAGAAUCCACUUGGGAACAAUUUGAUGAAGUUUGCAAAUCAGCACUUUACCCCCAAAUUAACAACAGCUUGUAUGGAAAAAAAAAUGCUCUUUUAAAAGUAUAUGGUUUGGACAGGUAUAUUUGUUUUCUCUUGUAGUUUUUGUAAAAAAGUAUCAAAACCUUGGCUUUAAA
This 1295-nucleotide long non-coding RNA is filed under the name Homo sapiens (human). Its description in RNAcentral is "HSALNT0292188". The record is from RNAcentral. Lineage: Eukaryota; Metazoa; Chordata; Mammalia; Primates; Hominidae.